GCUGCUACUAUAAAUCUACUGAGCAGAAAACUUGGAUAGACAGCAGGAGUUUCUGUCAGUUUGUAGGAUCUGAUCUGGUGGUGGUGAACAGCAAAGAGGAACAGGAUUUUCUUUCUACAUUGGAACCAACAGCAGAAUCCUGGAUCGGUCUGUUUGCUGGAUGGUCAUACCAGAAACAGAAAUAUGAAUGGAAAUGGGUGGAUGGAUCACCACUGACAGAAACGUUCUGGGAUGAGAUGUUUUCCAAAGAUCCGUACUACUACUACUAUGCAGUGUUCUUAAGUGCUGACGGGAAAUGGACAGAAAAGGACAAAACAUACACCAAAAACUGGAUCUGUGAGAAAUAAAAUUCUGAAUCUUU
Oryzias latipes (Japanese medaka) is the source of this 361-nucleotide non-coding RNA. Lineage: Eukaryota; Metazoa; Chordata; Actinopteri; Beloniformes; Adrianichthyidae. The record is from RefSeq and is a predicted model, not a curated record.